UCCGGGCGGACGCCGAGUCCUGCCGCCGCCUGGAUGACCGGUCGACAGGAGUGGAUCGGCAGGAGUGGAGGACCCAAGCACGACGGGUCGCCGGGACGGUCACGCCAUGACCGGGCCCGAGCAGCCCUUGGGGUGAAGCCGCGUCAGCGGCCGGGCAACUUCGCCAGCCCGAAUCCGACAGGUCAUCCUUCACAGGCGGCUGACGAAGGGUUG
Molecule: small RNA, 213 nt
Filed under: Streptomyces swartbergensis
Lineage: Bacteria; Bacillati; Actinomycetota; Actinomycetes; Kitasatosporales; Streptomycetaceae
Description: c-di-AMP sequence
Rfam family: c-di-AMP riboswitch aptamer (ydaO/yuaA leader)
About the family: This family represents a conserved RNA structure found upstream of the ydaO and yuaA genes in Bacillus subtilis and related genes in other bacteria. The ydaO/yuaA element is thought to act as a genetic "off" switch for the ydaO and yuaA genes in its native state. It is believed that the element may be triggered during osmotic shock leading to activation of ydaO, a predicted amino acid transporter gene, and members of the yuaA-yubG operon which code for KtrA and KtrB K+ transporters.
Source: RNAcentral